Non-coding RNA from Salmo salar (Atlantic salmon), 78 nucleotides. NCBI's taxonomy places the organism in Eukaryota, Metazoa, Chordata, Actinopteri, Salmoniformes, Salmonidae. The record is from Rfam.
UGGCUCAGUUGGUAGAGCAUGGUGUUUGCAACGCCAGCAUGGUGUUUGCAAUGCCAGGGUUGUGGGUUCGAUUCCCAC